Long non-coding RNA from Protobothrops mucrosquamatus (brown spotted pit viper), 658 nucleotides. RefSeq lists it as uncharacterized. The transcript is spliced from 4 exons. The record is from RefSeq and is a predicted model, not a curated record. NCBI's taxonomy places the organism in Eukaryota, Metazoa, Chordata, Lepidosauria, Squamata, Viperidae.
GUAUUUCCUAUUGGCGCCCCAUACUUGUAUUGACGAGGUUCAACUUUGCUUAAGCCAGCACUUCUGAAAGAAUAGCUAUGGAAGACUUUUCAGGAUGUUCAGUUGUGCUGAAAACAUGAAUUUUCCACAUAGAUAUAAUUAUAGGCUCAAAACAUGAAUUUUCCACAUAGAUAUAAUUAUAGACAAAGAGGAUGGCAGUAAGAGCACUCUGGAGAAGUGAGAAUAACUUUUGAAAAGGAAAGCAAAUCCAGCCAGAAAUCAAAAUAUUUUCCAUUUCCUUCAGAAAAUUACGCAAUUGUCCCAUCCAAGCAGGCGAAAGGGAAGAGAAAAUCAAGAAGAGAUUUCAAGCUGGAAAUAGUAGAGUGUGCGGAACACAAGGAUAGGUUACAUGACAAGGUAGAGGGGAUCAUUUUUCCAUUCAGAAAAAGGGAAAUAUCUGGAAGUCAGUGGGGAAGAAAAGGUCAAUUGGAUACUCAAAUAGGGCAGACAGCAAUGCAGAACUCCCAAUGGGAGGAAGAAAACAGUAGGUGAAAUCAAAGCACCACUAAACAAGGGACCACAUACAUUUUUGACUUCCUCCAGCAUAUCAGUGGAUUGCAAAAGCGUAGGUGAUUACGUACAAGAGGAUCAAAACUGGAAUAAAGGCAUACAAAUGCUA